CCCUGGGUGAUGCAAAGGAUUAGCAGGUUCGGCUGAUAACCGAAAGGCUGGAGGUUUGAGUCUACCCAGAGGGG
RNAcentral lists this transfer RNA (74 nucleotides) under Loxodonta africana (African savanna elephant). It matches the Rfam family "tRNA". Rfam says of the family: Transfer RNA (tRNA) molecules are approximately 80 nucleotides in length. Their secondary structure includes four short double-helical elements and three loops (D, anti-codon, and T loops). Further hydrogen bonds mediate the characteristic L-shaped molecular structure. tRNAs have two regions of fundamental functional importance: the anti-codon, which is responsible for specific mRNA codon recognition, and the 3' end, to which the tRNAs corresponding amino acid is attached (by aminoacyl-tRNA synthetases). tRNAs cope with the degeneracy of the genetic code in two manners: having more than one tRNA (with a specific anti-codon) for a particular amino acid; and 'wobble' base-pairing, i.e. permitting non-standard base-pairing at the 3rd anti-codon position. The record is from Rfam by way of RNAcentral. Lineage: Eukaryota; Metazoa; Chordata; Mammalia; Proboscidea; Elephantidae.